AGAGUCCUUUCCUGGCUCAGGAUGAACGCCGGCGGUGUGCCUAAUACAUGCAAGUCGUACGCACUGGCCCAACUGAUUGAUGGUGCUUGCACCUGAUUGACGAUGGAUCACCAGUGAGUGGCGGACGGGUGAGUAACACGUAGGUAACCUGCCUCGGAGCGGGGGAUAACAUUUGGAAACAGAUGCUAAUACCGCAUAACAACAAAAGCCACAUGGCUUUUGUUUGAAAGAUGGCUUUGGCUAUCACUCUGGGAUGGACCUGCGGUGCAUUAGCUAGUUGGUAAGGUAACGGCUUACCAAGGCAAUGAUGCAUAGCCGAGUUGAGAGACUGAUCGGCCACAAUGGAACUGAGACACGGUCCAUACUCCUACGGGAGGCAGCAGUAGGGAAUCUUCCACAAUGGGCGCAAGCCUGAUGGAGCAACUCCGCGUUGAGUGAAGAAGGGUUUCGGCUCGUAAAGCUCUGUUGUUGGAGAAGAACGUGCGUGAGAGUAACUGUUCACGCAGUGACGGUAUCCAACCAGAAAGUCACGGCUAACUACGUGCCAGCAGCCGCGGUAAUACGUAGGUGGCAAGCGUUAUCUGGAUUUAUUGGGCGUAAAGCGAGCGCAGGCGGUUGCUUAGGUCUGAUGUGAAAGCCUUCGGCUUAACCGAAGAAGUGCAUCGGAAACCGGGCGACUUGAGUGCAGAAGAGGACAGUGGAACUCCAUGUGUAGCGGUGGAAUGCGUAGAUAUUUGGAAGAACACCAGUGGCGAAGGCGGCUGUCUGGUCUGCAACUGACGCUGAGGCUCGAAAGCAUGGGUAGCGAACAGGAUUAGAUACCCUGGUAGUCCAUGCCGUAAACGAUG
Molecule: ribosomal RNA, 848 nt
Filed under: uncultured bacterium
Lineage: Bacteria
Description: bacterial SSU rRNA
Rfam family: Bacterial small subunit ribosomal RNA
Source: RNAcentral